GUUUCUAUCUAUGAAGUGUUUUCUUCCAGUACGAAAGGAUCGAAGAGAAAAGGCCCAUGCUUAAAGUAAGCCUUACCCCCACCCGAUGAAAACAACUCAAUCAGACAUAAAGGCACCCCUAGCCGCCGUAGAUAACAGCU
RNAcentral lists this ribosomal RNA (140 nucleotides) under Pseudopoecilia festae. Its description in RNAcentral is "partial 16S ribosomal RNA". The record is from RNAcentral. Lineage: Eukaryota; Metazoa; Chordata; Actinopteri; Cyprinodontiformes; Poeciliidae.